GCUGAGUCUGGUGGCACAUGCCUGUAAUUCCAGCUACUAGGGAGGCUGAGGCAGGAUGAUUGCAAGUUUGAGACCAGCUUCAGCAACUUUGCUAGACCCUGUCUCAA
RNAcentral lists this small RNA (107 nucleotides) under Marmota monax (woodchuck). Lineage: Eukaryota; Metazoa; Chordata; Mammalia; Rodentia; Sciuridae. The record is from RNAcentral.